GAACGAAUAAGUGGUUUAUCCACAUAAAGUUCUAGAUAGAAUAAAGAUGAUGACUAAUUUCUAUCUACUAGUCUUGACUAAAUCACGUGCCAGCUGUCGCGGUAAUACGGGAAAGACGAGUGUUAUUCAUCUUUAAUAGGUUUAAAGGGUACCUAGACGGGUUUUAUACACUCUAAUCCUAAUUUGCAAUUAAUUAGGGUAUAUGAUAAUUUUCCAAUAUAAAAUUAUUAUGUAUGGGUAAAAAAAUCUAGAGUUUUAUGUGAGAGGAUUUUGUUAGUACUAAUAGAGUAGAGAUGAAAUUUUUUGAUACUAUUGGGCACUGGUAUUGGCGAAGGCAACCCUUUAUGUAAAAACUGACGUUGAGGGACGAAGGCUUGGGUAGCAAACAGGAUUAGAUACCCUAAUAGUCCAGGCAGAAAAAAAUGAGUGUCAUAGGUUACAUUGAAAGUGAUCUAUAAAUGAAAGUGUAAGCACUCCACCUCAAGAGUAAUACGGCAACGUAGGAACUGAAAUCAUUAGACCGUUUCUGAAACCAGUAGUGAAGUAUGUUGUUUAAUUCGAUGAUCCACGAAAAACCUUACCACGACUUGAAUAUUUUAGCAAAAUCAUUCGUUUGUUUUUGCUAUUCAUACAGGUGCUGCACGGCUGUCUUUAGUUAAUGUCGUGAGAUGCAGGUUAGCUCCAAUAAAUUAACGUAAACCCUCACUUUAUUUAAUUACAAUGAAGUAGUUCUCCGGUAUAUCGGAUAAGUUAAC
RNAcentral lists this ribosomal RNA (755 nucleotides) under Plectocarpon nephromeum. Its description in RNAcentral is "mitochondrial SSU rRNA". It matches the Rfam family "Bacterial small subunit ribosomal RNA", at positions 401 to 1149 of the family's 1533-position model. The record is from RNAcentral. Lineage: Eukaryota; Fungi; Ascomycota; Arthoniomycetes; Arthoniales; Lecanographaceae.